Gasterosteus aculeatus aculeatus (three-spined stickleback) is the source of this 7487-nucleotide long non-coding RNA. NCBI's taxonomy places the organism in Eukaryota, Metazoa, Chordata, Actinopteri, Perciformes, Gasterosteidae. The record is from Ensembl.
UUUUUUUUUUGUCCCCCUUUUGUCGUGGUAACCUUCUCUCCCCCACAAAGGUGACUGACGGGGCCAAUUUGGCCGGUGCCCAGGGGCCCCCCCCCCGACCACUGGGACCAUGGCCCCCGUUCUGCCUGAGGGGGGAGGCCCCUGACCGUCAGAGGUCUGUCGAGCUCGGGGGGGGGGGGUAUAUAUCACACGUCUCAUCUGUGUGCCAAUCUGUUAGUAAGUUGUGGAUCCGAGUUGAUUUUAAAGCUCAUGUCACCAUAAGGUGGAUUCAUUGAUUAACGUCUGACGGAAAGUUAAUCCGCAGUCAUUUUUUUAUCAUCCAUUAAAGGCUUUUGAUCAUGGUAAAAAUACAUAAACUGACCCUCAAACUCUUAAACGUGAAUAUUUAAUGAUAGAAGAGCUAAUUCCUUUCUAGUGGGACUGAUGGUUGGAUUAAACAAGGCGCCUGAAGAUGUCUUCUUGGGCUUUGGGAUCUUCUGGUGUUUGUGUACAUUUAUUAGGCGGAACCUAAUUUGAUCUUGGAAACAAUCUGCAGAUAAUAUAUAAUAAUACUUGUGUUGAGAAAUAAGUAAUCAUCAGUAUUAAAAUGUGUAAUGAGAGCUGAUAAAAAGCACUCAUGUCCACAUGUCGUUUAAUUUAAGAGCUACUGUGCCAAUGUGGUGAAUCCAUCAAUAUUUGGAUCAUUUCUCGCUCAUUUGUCUUUUUAGAAACGUUGGGAUCCCAUGAUAUCAAAUUUCGCGGCCAAUAAGUUGUUGAAAAAGAAACUUUCCAAAACCUUCCGCUGUAUUAAGUAAUUAGUGUUAAUAGAUUAUAUCUUGCUCUUUAGCCCCACGUCGAGGCACAAACAAGAGGCAUCGAUCACGAUUAAAAAGUACAGACGCAGAUCCGCUCAGUCACAUGACCUGCCUCGGCAGAUGGAGCUGUCCAGCUGCCAUGCACACGCUUUAACUAACAUUUUUACAAACAUUAAAAAAUACUCUUGUCCAUGUUAGGUUGAACGUUUUUGAUUAGCUCGAGUCGACACUUUCCCUCACAAAGAGAGACUUGACAGCGAAGGCACAUUGUUUAGGGUAAUUUAACUGCUCCACCAGCGUACGUAACAUCCCUGUCAAUCACGCUCAUCUCAAUCUGAUUUUGACGAAGAGAGCGAGGCCGAUGUUCGGAGGUGUUGAGAGUGAAUGUGUGUUUCUUACUUUAUCUGUCUGGACCAGACGACACAGGACGGCUGCCGCUGCCAGCCUAUUUCUCAGCCCACACACACACACACACACACACACACACGGAAACCACACAAAGCUGCCACUUACGACAUUCUACACCUCCUACACGUCGUCCUAUCUGCAGGCAGGUAGUUGGAAAUAGCCCACAUGAAUGUGGCAGUGACUGCACCUGUUGAGGACCAUCUGCUGUCCUCCUCACAACAACUUUUUACUUUCAAUAUUAUUUGAUAAUGACAGAGAACGAGUGAGCGUGAAAACAAGAGUCAGAGCGAGAUGGAGGAAGAAGCCAAGUGAGAGAGACAGAAAAAGAGGUCAAGGGUAACGCAUAGAUGGGAACGAGGUCUCCUCCGCGUGAUGGAUUUAGAUGUAACAGUAGAAGAUAACGGUCAAAGAGAAGUGUGGAGGUUAUCGGAAUGUCAAACUAACCUAAACUUUAACAUUAUAGGAAUGUCUUCCAAGUUACGGAUUUUCUAAAUCCACUCCGAGGCAGCGGAGACCACUCAAUGAUGACAUAAUACCACCUUUUAUUCGUACGCCCCGCCGACAUGGAGCAACGCCGGUAUUCAUUUGACCCCUCGGAAAAUAAAAGUCCUGUGUUCGCUCUCCUUUUAGCUCUAUUUUUGGUCUCCACCGACCGCAGGGGCUCUUUAGCCGCUGAAAGCUCCACUAAAGCUUCACUCUACUAGCCGGCUGCCGCUUGGUGCUGGUUGUGGACAAUGGGUUCAUCGGGGCUUUUAAAGCCGAACACGACGAAAAAAGUCCACAAAUGAUGGGAGUUUUGCGACGUGAAAACAAAACAAUGCGCUGAAAGCGAGUUAAUCAAACAACAGAGGCGAGGAGAAGCGCACAGUGGUCUCAUCGCCGACUCUUGAGACCACUUUCCCUUUGCACAAAGCAGCGUGACCCAGUGUUACUUUGGAGAUGUGAGUCAAAUCCCUGUUAAAAUUGAAAAUGCAAAAGUGGCUCUGAAACAUCUCUUCCCUUCGCCAACAGUACGUCCUGACUGUGGCCUCCUCGGUACCUCACGCACUCCUAUUUUAAUACACGGAUGCUCUCCAGAGUGAACACGGCAGCCUGAACCCGACACGUGCAGACGCACAUUUGCUGGAGAGAUUUUGAAGAUUCUUUUCACAGCUGCCGGUUUCCACAGAACAUUCAUCAAGGGUCAAAUGAAACUUCUCCAUGUCAGGAAAAAUACCUGCCAGGGUUCGGUGCUGAAAGUAAGACACUUUUACCUUGUCAGGGAUGAAACGGAGGAAAACACUCCUCCACCCCAUCGCUGAUUCACACAAUCACCAUAGUAAUGCACUUUGUUAACGUCCCAUUUAACCUGUCAUUUUAAAGAAUGCAAUCUAUAAUCAUGGGGAUGUAUUGCUUCAAGCGUCUUCAAAUGAUACUCAUUCAUUUUCCAAUUAUAAUAAUUUCGUUUGCGUUCAAGAGAUCCAACAGACAAGGUGUCGUCGCCCCUGUGAUUACUGCAGCAUUAUAACAGAAAGCAUCCGUCUGUUUUCCGCCGCCACCGACUGUGUUUACGCAGAACUCAAUAGUGAGAAACAAAAGGUCCUUUUAUUCUUUUUUAUCCGGGAAUCAAAAAGUCAUUUAUUUGGGCUUCAGAGUGAAACAAUUUAGUCCACUUUAUUAAAGCCCCUGAAGAUUUUUGUUUAUUUCAAAUUUUUCAAGGUAAACAGGGACAUAAAAUACAGUAAAACGACAGAAGCAGAAGCAGCAGCACUAAACACAACCGCUUCCUUGACAAAUCCAUUUUAAUGUCAAUGUCAGCCGGCCAAAAACACAUCAUGGGUAAAUAGAGUGCUUCUAGGUUUCCAUUCAAAAUCAAAGCAGAGCCAGAAUGUGUGUGUGUGUGUGUGUGUGUGUGUGUGUGUGUGUGUGUGUGGUUUUUGUCUCUACCGUGCAGAUAUGGACUUUUAUGCAAUGAAUCACACACUAAUUCAGUUUUAUUUGUGCUCCCUGUCUCAGAAAGCGUUUUUUACUUUUUUAGAGGCCGGCCCUGUGUGUGUGUGUGUGUGUGUGUGUGUGUGUGUGUGUGUGUGUGUGUGUGUGUGUGUGUGUGUGCAUAUACUCUGUCAUGUGUGUGUAGCUGGGGGCAGAACUGCGCUAUUAGACCAGGAUAUUGCAGCAGUAGCUCAUGGGAGCUCAAUACAAUUCAGUCCGUAUGUCAUAUAUUUAUCAAGAACGGAGCGUAAACGUAUGAAGUAAAUCACAAAAAAGCUUUAUGUGUCAUUAUCUAAUUCAGCCGCGGGUCAAACUAUGCAAUACAUUUAAUUCUGUGUUUGAAACGUUCUCAAGGACAGACAACGUCCACGUUUGUUACCGACUGAAUCUUCACUUAUACACAAAUGAUUUCCUCUAUGCAUUGAAAAUAUAUUGCUACCAAGCUUAUUAGCUGCGUCUGAUUUACAUUCAAACCAGAUUUAUUUCUGUUUUUGAUGGAAAUCUUUAAAUAAUAUGAAUCUUUAUUUAAUCAAGAUGUUCCCCAUAGUUUUUUGUUUUGUUUGUUUCUGCAAAAGUUGCAUGAAAUAUAAAUGUGUAAAGAGGUAAAAAUGGAUCAUUUCAAGGGUGAACCAUGCAAACAAAUGCUAUUUCUAGGUGCAGGUUUCUUUAUCGUGCUUCCGUGCAUUGUUACAGUUCCCUGCAGCCUCGGCGGUGUCCCCGCAUGGACCCGGUAUCAAUAGAUCACAGGACCAUUUCAUCUUUCAUAAGUCCCCCCUCUGAGACGACGAAUACAGGCCGACUGAACGUGUUUCUGUGUCCUGUGGGGGAUUAUGUUUCUGAGCCCCCUCGUGUGCGCGCACACACUUUAGACUCACACACACACACACACACACACACACACACACGCACGCUGUGCCGCAAUAUGUUCCAACAAGCAGGCGCUCUAACGGACAAAGUCACCGGAUGACACAGCAACAUGUGUGCAUUGGCUGCUGCAACAGGAAAAUAAAUAUGUAAUUGCUAUUGUUAUUAUUAACCGUUUGAGUUGGUGCUAUUUAGAAGUAGUAGUAGUAGUAGUAGUAGUAGUAGUAGUAGUAGAAGUAGUUUUGGUAUCUUCAAUAAACUGUGCCCCGUGUUGGCUGAAGUCAGGUUUUGAGUGAGAAACAUCUGAUAUUCAUCAUUACAGGAUGAGAAUGAGAAUAAAUUUAGUGUUUAAAACAAUUAUUAUGGUUAUUCAGAAAUGCAUUCACCUCCACAAGAUACGUCAUUUUAAAAAGCUUUUUAUAAUUCAGUAAACUGAAGAAACAAAGACGUCAUUUGAGGGAAGUAGAAAUGUUACAGCGAGUUACUUGAGUACAAAACAAAGUUACAUUCACUUCCCUGUAUUUCUGUUCCACUAGAAAUUGACCAACAUCACUGAACGUAAAAACAAAUAAACUAAAGCUAAAGCUAACUAACUAAGCAUUGGUAACUAGGUGGCAGAAAGAAAGUAAAAAGCAGAGAGAGGAAAGUGGAGCGGCAGACAGAAGGUGAAGGAGAUGUAGAAACGGGGAUGUUGAUUGGUUAAAAAUGCAUGAGGCGUCUGGCGCGCGGCGCCCCGCCGCUAACGCCAGUCUGAGGCUUCAUCUCGUGUCAGUCGGGCAAACGCAGCAUCCAUGGUGUCGGUUUUUGCAGGAAACAACAUGUCGGCUUCUCACGUGAAACUGAUUUUACUGAAACGCUGCAACCAAUUCCCACUACAGCUGUUCCGCAAUCAGAGGUGACAUCCAGAUGUUAACAAUCACCCCCAUGUUCAAGCGUGGCUUCUCACCGGGUUCGACAGGGUACAUUCAUUCUGCUAAAUACUGCUGACACCGUUUGUCGCAUGAUUGAUUAUUCAUCGCCAAAAUAUUGCUGCAUUGUUUGUGCGUUUGUUACAUGAAACCAUGUAAACGUAACUGUUUAAUGAAAAGCAAUCAGCCACGGCGGUCUGGGAUUUACAGUUAGGUUUAACGUAAUAAAAAGAGUGUUUAGACGAUAACUGAUCUGAUAUCUGCCCGUCAGCGUGUCAGUUGAUCUCUUUAAUUGUUCAUCCUGACACUGUGAAUUUAAUUUCCACUUCCUCUCUACUCGCUGCUGUCCUUCCAUCUGUCUGGUAUCCCUCUGCCAAUUCUGGGUUUGCAAGUGUGUAUGUCUGUGUAUGAGUGUGUGUGUGUGUGUGUGUGCGUGUGUGUGUGUCUCCAAUACGUUUCCAGGUCUGUGAACUUGCGCCACGACGCCGCGGUUCGGCCGAGCGGCGAGCGCCAGAAAGGGCGACGGAUCAGAGUCGAGGCGAGAGCGAUGCCGCUCCCCCGGGCCGAGCCGCGAUGCCCAAAUGACCCCAAAGGGCGCGCGGGCCGCUCAGGUACGUGGGGGGGGGGGGGGGAUGCAUCCACCUGGACGGCACUCCCGUCCCGCCCGUCUCCUCCGAAGAGCUGCCUCGCCCAAGGGCACUAAGACAGAGAGACAGCGCGCGGAGACAAACUCGUCUUCAAAAGUCCACCCUUAUUCUGACAUUGCUGCCAGUCGUCUGCUGCUCUAUACUAUUGUGUUCUAUACUAUUGUGCUCUAUACUAUUGUGCUCUAUACUAUUGUGUUCUAUACUAACAAGCCUGCAGGCCCGUGUUAACACACACAUCAACUCCACCGGUUGACACAAUUAUCUGAAACAGCAAAAAAUGUUUCCUUGCCACCCAGACUACAAACAGCGCGCGUGUGUGUGUGUGUGUGUGUGUGUGUGUGUGUGUGUGUGUGUGUGUGUGUCUUAUCCCAUCAGUAGUAUCGCUGUGGGCUGGUUCACAUUUGCAUAAUGAAGUCAAUAACACCGGCCUCCUGGGAGGGAGAGUGGUGACAUUAUUACUAAUUUAAUAAGAAGAAUCGAGUGUGUUUGGGGAGGGAGAGAAACAAAGAUGGCGCAGGACAGCGAGAGGCAGGAAGUACAGAAGGUUAAGAGGGAGAAAGAGGUGAGAGCGGAAGGAGGACAGAAAGUUAGAGAGGCAUGGCGGGUGAGGCACGAGGGGGGAGGAGGAGGAGGGGGGGGGGGGGGUCAGCGAUGAAGAAGCAGAGGGUCUUGGCGAGAGACAGAGAUUCAUGGGGGGGGGGUGUGACUCUGUUGUUCUACACCUCCGUUGUUAAUCACAGACCCGAUGUCCUCGCCGUCCUCUGGUAGCCGGAGCCUCGGGCGCCUUCAGCCCGCAAAGGGAAACAUGAAGGCCGACGCAGAAUCAUUCAUUUAACAGAAAUCGCAGCCAAACGUUCUGAUUUCUACACUUGAAAAAAGAAGUUUCUGCAAGCUGGUAACGAUUUGGCUGCAUAGACACAAUCAAAUGGGGAAGUUUGAUUGUGUUAACGAACGUCACGAGACGACAACAGCAACAGAGGUGCAACAUCUCCCACCCUGACAGCCACAAACCAACCUUCUCUCCCCCUUCGCCGUCCUCUCACAUCAGUCACACGGAAAAUCUCGUUAAUUUACACUUUUGAAAAACUUUGACUUUCGUUAACAUUCAGAGUUCUGACGACGUCAUCUUGAUGUCAGCAUCACGCUAAAAACGAAAAAAGGAAUUUUUUAAGUUGGAUUUUGAGACUAAUGGAGAAAAUCCAAUGAGGAUUCGGUUCAGAUUUGCAGAUAAGGGGCAGUUUUUUUUUAGCAAAGUCAAAAGAAGAUGUAAAUAAUGCUGUUUUUGCGUGCGUGGGUUGGUGUGUGCUUGUGUCCUCCAGCCCUCGGCCCUCUUCUCCGCGCCCUAAAUAUACUGCAGCCCCUUCCACCAGCUGCUGUCUGCGUCUCUAAUUAUAGCCUCUGCAGGCCAAGACCGGGGGUCCGGUUUCCCCUUCCCACUGCGCUUAAACCGGGCCUCCAAAACAGGUUCUGACAGGACUUCAGAACUCGCACGGGGCUCAACUAGUGAUUAAUUCGCCGAUUCCCUCCUCAGCGGCGCGCACUAAAGCGUGAAGACGUGUCCACUGAAGGAGGUGCGAGGAGAAGAAGCGUGAAGACGCGGGACACAAAGUGAGGACAUCUGGGUCUCUGGUUCCUAUGGUUUAAUAUUGACAUUGUCAUGCCUUAAUAAAUGAAAUAAAAUCCACGACGGUGCCUGUAUACGCGGUGGUGGGGGGUCAGUCGGUGGGGUCGGAGAUGGUGUUGUGAGCCUCUCAGGGGAGAAUCACAGAUGCAACAUCUGCUGUUAUCAGCCUGCAUCGUUAUAACGUGAUUAAUGAGCUCGGUUUUACCAAGAGACUCUCGUCACUUCAUUCUUCUUCUCCUCCCCACCCCGUGAUCUUUUGCUCCUGUACCUC